This 185-nucleotide unclassified non-coding RNA is filed under the name uncultured Rhizophydiales. Its description in RNAcentral is "sequence contains ITS1". The record is from RNAcentral. Lineage: Eukaryota; Fungi; Chytridiomycota; Chytridiomycetes; Rhizophydiales.
UUAAAUAAUGAUGACACCCUUUGAAGUUUACUUCAUUGGGGCGUCUCUAUACCUCUGUGCACUGUAAUAGUAUCGGGUCAUUGCUAAGCAUUCCCUUGGGAUAGCGAAACUUUGGCCCACCAACGGUUUCGAUCGUUAUUAACAACUUUUAAUUUUGACUGACUUUUGUUUCUAUGAAUCAAAAA